AGCCUGAUGCAGCGACGCCGCGUGGGGGAUGACGGUCUUCGGAUUGUAAACCCCUUUCAGUAGGGACGAAGCGCAAGUGACGGUACCUGCAGAAGAAGCACCGGCUAACUACGUGCCAGCAGCCGCGGUAAUACGUAGGGUGCGAGCGUUGUCCGGAAUUACUGGGCGUAAAGAGCUCGUAGGCGGUUUGUCACGUCGUCUGUGAAAUCCCUCGGCUUAACCGGGGGCGUGCAGGCGAUACGGGCAGACUUGAGUACUACAGGGGAGACUGGAAUUCCUGGUGUAGCGGUGAAAUGCGCAGAUAUCAGGAGGAACACCGGUGGCGAAGGCGGGUCUCUGGGUAGUAACUGACGCUGAGGAGCGAAAGCAUGGGUAGCGAACAGGAUUAGAUACCCUGGUAGUCCAUGCCGUAAACGGUGGGCGCUAGGUGUGGGGUCCUUCCACGGACUCCGUGCCGUAGCUAACGCAUUAAGCGCCCCGCCUGGGGA
Molecule: ribosomal RNA, 488 nt
Filed under: Dietzia sp. EBKC116
Lineage: Bacteria; Bacillati; Actinomycetota; Actinomycetes; Mycobacteriales; Dietziaceae
Description: bacterial SSU rRNA
Rfam family: Bacterial small subunit ribosomal RNA
Source: RNAcentral